Molecule: ribosomal RNA, 847 nt
Filed under: uncultured archaeon
Lineage: Archaea
Description: bacterial SSU rRNA
Rfam family: Archaeal small subunit ribosomal RNA
Source: RNAcentral
AGUUGUAGAAUCACUGGUGAAUAAGGGGUGGGCAAGUUCUGGUGUCAGCCGCCGCGGUAAAACCAGCACCUCGAGUGGUCAGGAGGUUUAUUGGGCCUAAAGCAUCCGUAGCCGGUUGCAUAAGUUUUCGGUUAAAUCUAUGCGCUUAACGUAUAGGCCGCCGAAAAUACUGUGCAGCUAGGGAGUGGGAGAGGUACACGGUACUCGAUAGGAAGGGGUAAAAUCCUUUGAUCUAUUGAUGACCACCUGUGGCGAAGGCGGUGUACCAGAACACGUUCGACGGUGAGGGAUGAAAGCUGGGGGAGCAAACCGGAUUAGAUACCCGGGUAGUCCCAGCUGUAAACGGUGCAGACUCGGUGAUGCAUUGGCUUGUGGCCAAUGCAGUGCCGCAGGGAAGCCGUUAAGUCUGCCGCCUGGGAAGUACGUACGCAAGUAUGAAACUUAAAGGAAUUGGCGGGGGAGCACCACAAGGGGUGAAGCCUGCGGUUCAAUUGGAGUCAACGCCAGAAAUCUUACCUGGGGAGACAGCAGAAUGAAGGUCAAGCUGAAGACUUUACCAGACACGCUGAGAGGUGGUGCAUGGCCGUCGCCAGCUCGUGCCGUGAGAUGUCCUGUUAAGUCAGGUAACGAGCGAGACCCCUGCGUCUAGUUGCUACCAUUACUCUCUGGAGCAGUGGAGCGAAUUAGACGGACCGCCACAGUUAAUGUGGAGGAAGGAAGGGGCCACGGCAGGUCAGUAUGCCCCGAAACCCUAGGGCUACACGCGGGCUGCAAUGGUAUUGACAUGUGUUCCGAAUCCGAAAGGAGGAGGCAAUCAUCAAACAAUAUCUCAGUUAUGACUGAGGGU